GAUGAAGAACGCAGCGAAAUGCGAUAAGUAAUGUGAAUUGCAGAAUUCUGUGAAUCAUCGAAUCUUUGAACGCACAUUGCGCCCGCCAGUAUUCUGGCGGGCAUGCCUGUUCGAGCGUCAUUACAACCCUCAGGCCCCCGGGCCUGGCGUUGGGGAUCGGCGGAGCCCCCCGUGGGCACACGCCGUCCCCCAAAUACAGUGGCGGUCCCGCCGCAGCUUCCAUCGCGUAGUAGCUAACACCUCGCGACUGGAGAGCGGCGCGGCCACGCCGUAAAACACCCAACUCUUCUGAAGUUGACCUCGAAUCAGGUAGGAAUACCCGCUGAACUUAAGCAUAUCAAUAAGCGGAGGA
This 352-nucleotide unclassified non-coding RNA is filed under the name soil metagenome. RNAcentral describes it as "partial contains 5.8S ribosomal RNA, internal transcribed spacer 2, and large subunit ribosomal RNA". The stretch from base 1 to 120 matches the Rfam family "5.8S ribosomal RNA", at positions 35 to 154 of the family's 154-position model. The record is from RNAcentral.